ACGCACGCAAGUGUGAAACUCAAAGGAAUUGACGGGGGCCCGCACAAGCGGUGGAGUAUGUGGUUUAAUUCGAUGCAACGCGAAGAACCUUACCAGGGUUUGACAUCCUGCGAACCUCUAAGAAAUUGGAGGGUGCCUUCGGGAACGCAGUGACAGGUGGUGCAUGGCUGUCGUCAGCUCGUGUCGUGAGAUGUUGGGUUAAGUCCCGCAACGAGCGCAACCCACGUUUUUAGUUGCCAGCAUUUAGUUGGGCACUCUAGAAAGACCGCCGGUGAUAAACCGGAGGAAGGUGUGGACGACGUCAAGUCAUCAUGCCCCUUACAUCCUGGGCUACACACGUACUACAAUGCUACGGACAAAGGGCAGCAAACUCGCGAGAGCAAGCAAAUCCCAUAAACCGUGGCUCAGUUCAGAUCGUAGGCUGCAACUCGCCUACGUGAAGGAGGAAUCGCUAGUAAUCGCAGGUCAGCAUACUGCGGUGAAUACGUUCCCGGGCCUUGUACACACCGCCCGUCACACC
RNAcentral lists this ribosomal RNA (520 nucleotides) under uncultured Cyanobacterium sp. RNAcentral's name for it is "bacterial SSU rRNA". It matches the Rfam family "Bacterial small subunit ribosomal RNA", at positions 882 to 1403 of the family's 1533-position model. Lineage: Bacteria; Bacillati; Cyanobacteriota; Cyanophyceae; Chroococcales; Geminocystaceae. The record is from RNAcentral.